This is a long non-coding RNA of Sinocyclocheilus anshuiensis, 108 nucleotides long. RefSeq lists it as uncharacterized. The record is from RefSeq and is a predicted model, not a curated record. The transcript has 2 exons. NCBI's taxonomy places the organism in Eukaryota, Metazoa, Chordata, Actinopteri, Cypriniformes, Cyprinidae.
CAUAGGAGAGCAUCAUUCUUUUGAGAUUGAUAACUCAAACCAACUUUGGAGGUGUCUGAUUUGGAGAGACAUCAUUCUUGGUCUUUUCUUAAAGGAAUAGUUCACACA